This 186-nucleotide ribosomal RNA is filed under the name Clostridioides difficile. RNAcentral's name for it is "partial 16S ribosomal RNA". It matches the Rfam family "Bacterial small subunit ribosomal RNA", at positions 1357 to 1533 of the family's 1533-position model. Lineage: Bacteria; Bacillati; Bacillota; Clostridia; Peptostreptococcales; Peptostreptococcaceae. The record is from RNAcentral.
CGUGGAGGAAUGCGGUCCCGGGUUCUCUACACACCGCCCGUCACAGCUCGGGAGUUGGAGACGACCGAAGCCGAUUAUCUAACCUGUUUGAAGAAGUCGUCGAAGGGGGAAUCAAUAACUGGGGUGAAGUCGUAACAAGGUAGCCGUAUCGGAAGGUGCGGCUGGAUCACCUCCUUUCUAAGGAGA